GCGAUUCGCCCUUCGGGGUGCCCAGGCGCGAAAACUUCACAAUGGGAGAAAUCCCGAUGAGGGAAUUCCAAGUGCUAGCACUAUGUGUUAGUUGUUCUUUUGUCUAAAAAACAGAAGAAGUAAGGGCCGGGUAAGACGGGUGCCAGCCGCCGCGGUAAUACCCGCGGCCCGAGUGGUGGUCGAUAUUAUUGAGCCUAAAACGUCCGUAGCCGGUCUUGUAAAUCCUUGGGUAAAUCGGCCAGCUUAACUGUCCGAAGUCCGGGGAGACUGCAAGACUUGGGAUCGGGAGAGGUCAGAGGUACUUCUGGGGUAGGGGUAAAAUCCUGUAAUCCUGGAAGGACCACCGGUGGCGAAGGCGUCUGACUAGAACGAAUUCGACGGUGAGGGACGAAGCCCUGGGGCGCAAACGGGAUUAGAUACCCCGGUAGUCCAGGGUGUAAACGCUGCGGGCUUGGUGUUGGGGGUCCUUUGUGGGCGCCCAGUGCCGGAGAGAAGUUGUUAAGCCUGCUGCUUGGGGAGUACGUCCGCAAGGAUGAAACUUAAAGGAAUUGGCGGGGGAGCAC
Molecule: ribosomal RNA, 563 nt
Filed under: uncultured archaeon
Lineage: Archaea
Description: bacterial SSU rRNA
Rfam family: Archaeal small subunit ribosomal RNA
Source: RNAcentral